This is a long non-coding RNA of Sceloporus undulatus (fence lizard), 2483 nucleotides long. RefSeq lists it as uncharacterized. The record is from RefSeq and is a predicted model, not a curated record. The transcript has 5 exons. Lineage: Eukaryota; Metazoa; Chordata; Lepidosauria; Squamata; Phrynosomatidae.
UCCCUCGUUUGCCUUGCCUUUGCUAGAGUCCUCUGUUUCUGUCCGCCUCUGCUCCCAGAAGUCCCCUGUUUAUCUCCUUUCCCAGGAUGUCCCAGAAGUCCCCCGUUUGCCUUGCCUUUGUCAGAGUCCUCAGUUUCUCUCCCUCCCUGCUCCCAGAAGUCCCCCAUUUCUCUCUUUUUCCCAGGCCUUCUUCCCCUUCCUCCAUCCCCAACUUGGGGCUUCUCUCUCCCUCCCUCCCUCCCUCUCUCCCUCCUCCAGUCCUGCCAUCAAAUGACUGACACCUGGAGCACAUAUGGGAACAAGAAUCAUGCCAAAAAACUGUGGUUACUCAGGAGUAAGAUAAACAACAAGAUCCUCUUUGAAUCAAAGGGGUACCAAACAGCAACCACCAGCAGAUUCAGAGAGCAAGAGCAUCCCUCGCUCUGCUCCACCGUUGUCAUGAACCAUAACUGUAGGCAUUAGAAGAUUCUAAUGCAGGUGAGAUAAACAACAGCAGCCUCCAGAAUCUUACUGACAUGUGUGAACAGCAAAAGAGAAGGAAAAGGGAAAAGCAGGGAAUCCUGUUUCACCAUCAAUCCCCAAUUGUGUUAGAAAAGCAUCUAGAUGUUUGAACGGAAAUCAUAACAAAAGUAGAGGCUGGUGAAAGAAAACUUCAUCCCUGGAUGCACUUUGGAAGAAGCUUUCAGGUAAUCUCCAGAAUGUUAAAAUGUUUUUUAUUAGGUUUACAAGGCUUACCUUACAUGUGCACAUUAUUAGUUUUGAAUGAAAAUUUUGCUGAGCCUAUCCCUAUUCUUUCCAUGUUCUUUCUCUUAAAGAAGUAAAGUUCAGGAGCAUAUCUGCUUUGUUAACUGUGUAUCUUAAUUUCCUAUGUGCCAGAAAAAUACUGGUGAACUAGACUUUGAAAGGAGGAUAUGUUUUAGAUGACAACUGGCUAGGGCAUUGUGGGCCAUUCUGGAUGAAGGAUUCUGGGAGUUGUAGUCCAACAAAGUAGAUUUUCCAGACAAAGGCACUCAUACAAGAAGCAGACAAUGGACAUUUCUCCCCCCAGAUUUCCUUGCCAGCUUCAACUCAAGGAGCCUUCAGGUAUGUAUGGGAAUUGGGGAGGGUAGGGAGGAAACAUAAAUGAGUUGUGCUUUCCUUUUCCCACAUUACCUCUGGAAACCACAGGGGAGAUUAUUGAGCUCCUGCUCUGGAGAUGAUCCCUGAGUUUUCUUUUUGCUCCCUUCUGCUCUGUGCCUGACACUGUCCCCAUUUUCUCACUUUUCUGUUCCAAGAAAAAGGGAGGUGGAAAGACUUUGUUAUCUGAAAAAGAGUGCAGUAGUCUAAACAUUCUCUGCUCUCUGAUAGAGCAGGUGAAAACACAGGCACACAUCUAAUAACAAACUUUGGUUUUGUGAAGCCAGGGCAUCCAGAGUCAAAGCAUUGGGAUUUUCUGAUUAACAAGGAUGACAACAAUAUUUCCGGCUAACCCUUCCCACCUCUGCUCCUUCUGCAGCUAACUGCAGCCAUCAUGAUACACACAGAAAGUAUAUGGUGAUCCUUUGCCAAAAUCAGCUAUGAGCAAAAAAAUAAAGAGGGGCUUGGAAAAGAUCCAUCCUCGGAGUGUAACUGCUAGAAUGCUCCAGCCAGCAUGGACAAAUCUACGGAUGUUAAUUCUGAUCAGAUUAACCCUGUUUCUGGGUUCUUCAAGAUAGUCCCUGCCUUCUCUCUCUCUCUCUCUCUCUCUCUAUCCAUCUCAGCUUCACUCUGUUUGGUCACUCAGCCUUCUAUAAGAAUUAUUCUGAUAAUGUAAGGUCCUCCCAUGGCCUGAUACUAUGUUCUCAGAAGACAUUUUUGGGCAUUCUCUACACAAGUGGACACAAAUCUGAUCAUAAAAAUGGCAUUGCUCCUGAGCAGAUCACUUGUAGUCUCUCAGGACAGUCAAGUCACUGACCUCAACAUGGCUGUGGUGGCACAAAGGCAUUUCAAAGGGAGAUUCAAAAGGGAAAUGGCUGCAUUAGGAUAUACUUGCAAAUUCCAACCGAUUAGCAGGGGUUUGAACAAAGAUAAUGGCUUCUUAGCACAAUACAAGUAUUAAUAGGCUGGUUUUCAUUACAGUAGUGUGUAUCUUCUUCAAGAUAAGACCCUGUUUUCCACAGAACCAACUUUCCCAAGAGCAGAGUGCCUUGCUUUCACAUUUAAGGACAAUUAACAUCCAAACAGUAAGCAAACCUGUGUAUUAGCUGACAGAUAACCAGAAUGUUUCUGUUAAGCUCUUUGAAGGUUUAUACCUGAUGUGACAAUUGUCCCUUUCUGUCUCUCAUUUCACUUUUAUCCUACCCUCACAACUGUGUAAUGUGAGCAUUUAUUAUUGAAGCUUGAAUGUUGUUCUCCAACCAAAGAAAUAAUGGAUUAUAAUCCUUAAACUGUAUGGUAAAAUAAACAAGUUACUCUUCAAAGUACCACAGGACUCCUUAUCUAUGCUUUCCUUCCUUAUUUUUAAU